Molecule: non-coding RNA, 2588 nt
Organism: Ictidomys tridecemlineatus (thirteen-lined ground squirrel)
Lineage: Eukaryota; Metazoa; Chordata; Mammalia; Rodentia; Sciuridae
Source: RefSeq, a predicted model, not a curated record
CGUCAACACCUCAUGGACGUAAAUGCAGCCCGUUUUCACUGUCUGUGUCCCUCCAUGCCUUCAUCGUCAUUCAUGUUUGAACAGCAAGUAGGGGGAAAAUAUCCUGAAAACUGUUCCACCCAACCCAAGGGCUGGACGUUUUCUUCAGUGGUUCUCAACCACAGGAAAUUUUGCCCCCAGGGUACCAGUUGAUCUCUGGGGACAGUUUUGAUUGACACAGGGAGGGUGUGUUGUCACAGGCCCAGUGUGUUGAGUGGGGCUGCUGCCGGAUGGACAUCCUAACACACAAGGGACAGCCCUCCCUGCACAGAAGAGUCUGGCCCAGGGCCAAAAGUGCUGGGAUGAGAAGCCCCCCUUAGAGGGACACGAUUGUGGCUGGUGGUGAGUAGAAAGCACCACGCUUGCUGCUAAACCAGUCUGAACUGGUCUCUUGGCCCUGGCCGGGAUUGGCGGGUAGAACCCACUGAUUCUCCCUCCUCCACAGAGAGGCCAGUGUGGAGCCCCUGGUCCUGCGGGGAUGAGCUGGCUCCAGGCCUGCCUUUGCCGCUCACUUCACCCACCUGAGGAAGCCACCUGAUCCCACGGCCUCCUCGUCCUUGCACUCGGAUGAUGGAGUCACUCACCCCCCAGCCAGCAAGGAAGGACAGACAAACAGCUUCUCCCCAGAGAAGUCGCUGGGGCCAGCUGUGGAGGACCAGGUGUCAGCUCUGCCCCUCAGCCCAGCUGUGGGCAGCACCAGGCUGAGUGUGAGGGUGUUGAUCCUGCCCCUGAUUGACUUCUUGGUUUUAGAGAGAGAAGAAGCUUCAUGCCAGGGAAUCCCGGGAAGCUCCUCCUCCUGCCCAACCAGUGGGGUCCUUUGGCAAGUCACCCCCACCAGCAGCCUCCGGGCUCCCUCAGCCUCACACCUUCACCUGGCUGCGAGGGGCCCUUCACCCCAUGACUCAGUGCUUCCACACUGCAGUCCAUCCUGCUGUGCCUCCACGGGCCGCCGCAUGCGCUUGCCACUUGGGCUUUGUCUGAUCGGACUUGCACCCAAAUUAAGUAAACAGGAAAUUUUAUAUUUGAUGGUAAGUGAAAAACCAGUUUUGCUAGUGUAAAGAGCAGGCAAGCGUGAACAGAGACUCCAAACAGAGAGGCCAUGGUAGUUGUGGGUAGAUAAGGCCGCCUGCCAGAGGCCCCGGUGGCAAAGCCACUAGCUCCAGAGGGGCACUUCCUCCUGGACGUCAGGAUAUGGAAGACACAUCAGAAAGAGAAGACCUCUCUUACACGCAACUCUGUGUUGUUUAAAACCAUUUCCUGUGCCACCACAAGCCCAUGGAUUUAUAAACAGGAAGCCGAAAGGGAGGGAAACUGGAACCCCUGUGCGGGAGCAGAUGGGGGCCCUUUUCCUUCAAGGGAAAAGAGAGGGGAUGGAGACUAAAACGGAACUCCUCCCCUUAUGGAGAUUGUAACAGUUGUUAUCUGUGAUGCUUUUUAUCUUGGUUGGGCCUCAGAGCCCAACCCAUCACUCUGGAUAUGCACGGGAGGUUUCUUAAAAGGCCAGUUACACUGAAUAAACACACGCCAGCCGGGGUUUCCAACUGGCUAGCUCCUCCUUUCUCUGAGUGGUAGCUGUCCUCACCGAGGAACGGAACGUGGACCCAGGCUGCCCCAGGUGAGGGGCAGGGGCCGGGACCCAUGUGCAUCUGCUACUCGCACCUCUCCUGUCUGUCCCCACGUGCACCCAGAGGUGCUGUCAGCAGGGCUGGCUGGCCUGCCUUCUUCCUCCUUAACUAGUCGGGGAGGGUCUAGAGGCCAGAGGCACUGACCCGAGGAGCACUAGCUCCGACUGCUGAGCGGUCCUGGGUGCGCACCACGCAUGCGCAGUCCUGCUGGCUCUUCACCGGGACCAGGAGGGAGGAGCCACCCACCUUCCUGUUUUACAGGUUCCCUUCCUGGUGUCUGCCCCGGUUUCCCGCACAGCCCGUGCCCCUGCUGCUCUCGGGCUCUCUGCCUUUCCUUUCCCACGGGCUCCUCUCUCCCUUCUCCUGGCCUCAGAGGAUGUGAGCAGGAGAGGCGUGAAGGUCACCCAGGCCGGCUGGUUUUCUCAUGGGGGGAAUUAGCCUGUCCCCCUAGGAGCUCAAAGAAGUGCUGCCCCUGUCAGCAAGGGUCAGCCAAGGGCCCUCUGCUCCAGGGACUGCGCUGAGUCAGAGAAGGCCGGCCCCUGACUGAUACCAGGUUCCUUCAAGAAGAUUCUGUGGCAUUGUAACAGGAUCACACACUCCAUGAAGAUCCGAGAAGUGGGACUCUCUCUCCGGGCGUGGUGUAUAUUCCACCAUCUUUCCACCCGUCUAACUAGCUAUCUUUGUCUUGAUGGUGGCUGUUAUUGAGGAGCUGAUGUUUGCUGGUCUUGAGCAAAUAUGACACCUUUUGGAAUACCCACAAACAGAUAUUUUCUGUGUCCAUCUAAAAGGACCAGAGUCACCUAUAAGAUUAAGACACAUGACUUUGGCCCUGACCAAUUCCCACCCCGUGAUCCCACAUUUCCAACCAAAUGGAGCUGGGCUUCCCUCUGUCUUUAUUAUAUAAUCUACGUACACACUCUAGAA